GAUGAACGCUGGCGGCGUGCUUAACACAUGCAAGUCGAACGAAGCGCCUUAUUUGAUUUUCUUCGGAACUGAAGAUUUGGUGACUGAGUGGCGGACGGGUGAGUAACGCGUGGGUAACCUACCCUGUACAGGGGGAUAACAAUCAGAAAUGACUGCUAAUACCGCAUAAGACCACAGCACCGCAUGGUGCAGGGGUAAAAACUCCGGUGGUACAGGAUGGACCCGCGUCUGAUUAGCUGGUUGGUGAGGUAACGGCUCACCAAGGCGACGAUCAGUAGCCGGCUUGAGAGAGUGAACGGCCACAUUGGGACUGAGACACGGCCCAAACUCCUACGGGAGGCAGCAGUGGGGAAUAUUGCACAAUGGGGGGAACCCUGAUGCAGCGACGCCGCGUGAGUGAAGAAGUAUCUCGGUAUGUAAAGCUCUAUCAGCAGGGAAGAAAAUGACGGUACCUGACUAAGAAGCCCCGGCU
This 472-nucleotide ribosomal RNA is filed under the name uncultured bacterium. RNAcentral's name for it is "bacterial SSU rRNA". It matches the Rfam family "Bacterial small subunit ribosomal RNA", at positions 28 to 498 of the family's 1533-position model. The record is from RNAcentral.